RNAcentral lists this ribosomal RNA (256 nucleotides) under uncultured bacterium. Its description in RNAcentral is "partial 16S ribosomal RNA". It matches the Rfam family "Bacterial small subunit ribosomal RNA", at positions 99 to 353 of the family's 1533-position model. The record is from RNAcentral.
CGGACGGGUGAGUAACGCGUGGGUAACCUGCCCUGUACAGGGGGAUAACAGCUGGAAACGGCUGCUAAUACCGCAUAAGCGCACGAGGAGACAUCUCCUUGUGUGAAAAACUCCGGUGAUACAGGAUGGGCCCGCGUCUGAUUAGCUGGUUGGCAGGGUAACGGCCUACCAAGGCAACGAUCAGUAGCCGGUCUGAGAGGAUGAACGGCCACAUUGGAACUGAGACACGGUCCAAACUCCUACGGGAGGCAGCAUG